Molecule: long non-coding RNA, 599 nt
Organism: Agrilus planipennis (emerald ash borer)
Lineage: Eukaryota; Metazoa; Arthropoda; Insecta; Coleoptera; Buprestidae
Exons: 4
Source: RefSeq, a predicted model, not a curated record
UACGUGCCUCUAACCGUACGUAGUUGACUAGAAAAUCACGCGAUAACUCGGCCUUGUUGGUUUCAGUGUGUUGGCAUUUACAAUAUUUAUUGUACAAAAAUUUCCAAAAAUACGAAACAGUUUGUCUCGGUUCGAAUGGUAAAAUAUUCAAUAAAAAUCGUUUUAAUUUAAUGUGAACAGUUGAACUAUUAUGAAAAAGACAAUUGUGCUGGUGAUGAUGUUAUGUGUUAGUCUACAGCUUUUGUGUUUGAACAUAAACUAACAGCAACCAUUAUCCUUUGCUAUUCUUGACUUUCCUUUAUCAUAUGGGGAUGCAGAUUUGCUGGAAGUCCUAUGCUGGAACGGUGUUAACUGGUUGCUACCAUCACAACGGAAGCUUGUCUACAAAAUUGAUAGAAUUUUGAACCGUCAGCAGCAGAGGCAGUCGAAAUCCACAAUCCUGAAUAUCACGCCAUUCAAGUGGAUAUCCAAACCCAAUAAAGCUGUGGAGUCAAACAACCCAUGACGUUCAGCAGGACACAUCAGGACUAUCUGGACUUCUCAAAAAAGAGAGAUGUGGGUUAAUUUCAGCUCAGCCAAGGCAAAAGGAACACCAAGGA